GAUUGGAGCAAUUCAGGCGGUGUCUCGUGAGGCUUAUUUCACUGCAAUUGAAGGUAGUGGAUUUGAUUCAAGUGAUGUGCCGCCAGAGCUGUCUACUGAUUCCAAGAAGCGCCACCGAUUCCCUGACCUCAAAGGUACGUUUAUCCACCAGUAUUGGCGAAUGGGAAUUCCGCUGUUAUUUUGUCAUCUUAAUAGGAUGUUGAAGUUUUUGGUUCAGCGAUCCGUUUGGUUCCAUUUUCUGUAUUUUCCCAUCUCUUACAUAGCUAUUUUUAGCUUUUCAGGAGAAACCAACCGAAAUUCUCUUGAAGCCUUGGUGAGUUCUGAACCAUCAAUUCUAUAAGAACUUAUUCAUAAUUGGAACUUGGCAAAAGAUUUAUGUUGUGUUGCUUUCUCUAAAAUUCGCCUGUUGUUGUUUUGUAGGUGAAGAGCACGGGAAAAGAAUCAUUACAGUGGGGUGAGUAUUUGUGACUCGUAUUUGUAUACAUGUUGGCCUUCUCUCUUCUGGGUUUUGUCAAAAAUGAAUUUAUAUCAUUAAAAUUAUACUUUAAUUCGAUCAUAAUUAUGAAUUGUGUGACAAUCAUUUGUUUUGGAUGCUGCAGGACUGGCUGCUGGGGUGUAUUCAGGUCUCACUUAUGGGCUAAGAGAGGCUCGUGGAGCUCAUGAUUGGGUAAUUAAUUUUUCUCGUGUAUAAUCUAUAUGCACUGUAUAUAUGACAAUGGCUGUGGUAAAAUCCUAGUUACUAAAUGGUGCAUAUUGACACAAUAAGUUACCCAGUAAGUUAAAACCUCAUCGGUAGUUUGGUCGUGGACGGCUUGAGAUUUAGUUGGAGCCAAAUAAAAUAAAAUUAAAUAAAGUUAAGUUCAUUUUCCAUAUAGUCUUUGGGUGCAUCAUCCUAUGUAAUAGUUUAUUUUCAUGGUAAAAACAUGGCACUACUAGUUUUUACAUCUCUUUUGUCCGAGAUAUAUUGAAGUGCAUAAUCAUUAUUAUAAUCAUGAUAUUUUAUUGCUUAAUUCAAUACAGAAAAAUAGUGCAGUGGCUGGAGCUAUAACAGGCAUGGCAUUGGCACUUACAACAGAUGAUGUCUCCCAUGAUCAUGUAGUUCAAUGUGCUAUCACUGGAGCCGCAAUUUCCACUGCUGCAAAUCUUCUAACUGGGAUAUUCUGAACCUCGAAUAAUGUCUCAAAAUGCGGCUGCUACUUAAUUUAUAGUUUAAUCCAUAACAUAAUUGCUUAUUUCUUGAGCAUGCACUGCCUUGGAUUUCUCUUUUGAACUGAUAUUUUCUAUCAUAAUGGUGAUUAAAAUGCUUGAAUAUUUUGGCCUUCCUGUUUGAUAAAGGCAAAUGGUUCAUUUGUAGAUGAUUGUUGAAUCUAAUAACGUUGCUUAAAUCUUGAUCUUAUGUUAAAAUGUUGAGCUUUGAGCAUGUGGCAUGCAAGCUUCAAGUAUAGAAUAGCUAUCUGGAGUAAUAUUUUGUAGCCCAAUGGUCUGCAGUAGCCCACUGUAGCUUUGUUUGGUUGGAAAAGAAAAGAACAAAUAAAACCCAGAUGAUGUAAUUGUAAGGAUGUGAGCUAAGGUGCAUUUCAGCACCGACUAGCGUUCAACACUUGUUCUGUUUCAGAAAGUUUCUU
This 1625-nucleotide unclassified non-coding RNA is filed under the name Hevea brasiliensis (rubber tree). The record is from RNAcentral. Lineage: Eukaryota; Viridiplantae; Streptophyta; Magnoliopsida; Malpighiales; Euphorbiaceae.